AUGAAAGAAAAAAAGUCUUUUACAGUAGCCCUUCUACUAUCAUAUCUUGUUCUAGUUGCCGCAGGAAAAGGUGCAAGAACUAUACAACAAUGGGAAAAUACUAGCCAUAUCCCCACAUAUCAACAAUCUAAUAAAACCAUUAUGAUGGAAGAUGGAGAUAUCUAUGAUUGCAUCGAUGUGAAUCUACAACCGGCUUUUAACCACCCGUUGUUGAAAAACCACACAAUUCAGAUGGAACCAAGUUCUUUUCCGAUUGGACUAAACAUAAAAUCUUCGUUCCCACGUGUCGUUUCACAAGCGCAUUUGUCUAUUGUCAAAUGCCCAAGAGGAAUGGUUCCAAUACUACGUAAUGGUAGAAGGGAUCAAAUAUCAGCACACUUUAUAGAUCAAGCGAUUAGCAAGGAUGCACAACUCGAGGAGGCAGGGCUGAAAUAUUUUGAUGAUUUAUAUGGGGUACAAGCUACAAUAAAUGUUUAUGAGCCAAAGGUGAAGAAGGAUAGCGGGGAUCUUAGUCAAACAGGGAUCCAAAUUGAUAACGGACCAAAGGGUCAUAUGGACAGUAUAAAUGCUUGUUAUUCAGUAUCUCCAAGCUUCUAUGGCGAUACUUUUGUGAGGUUUCAUGUUGGUUGGCGCGAUGGUGUACAAAACAAGUCAUGCAUUGAUCAUGAUUGCCCUGGUUUUGUUCAAGUUAGCCACAAUGUUGGCCUUGGAGGAAGAGUAAAACCUGUUUCAGUUUACAAUGGACCACAAUAUGUGAUACACAUUCUUAUUUUCAAGGACCCAAAGACACAUAAUUGGUGGUUGGCGUAUGGUAAAGACAAAACACCAGUUGGAUAUUGGCCAAGUUCAUUAUUCACUCGCCUUAAGGAUAAAGGGAACUUUUCAUACACUGGUGGGCAUGUUUCAGGACCGACGGCUUCAUCAGACUCUCCACAAAUUGGCAGUGGGCAUUUUGCCUCCGAAGGCUAUGGAAAAGCGGCUUUUAUAAAAGACAUCCAAAUUAUUGAUAACGACAACAAGCUUGUAACACCAAAUGAAGAGAAAGCGAUUAGAGGCAGUAGUGAUGUAAGGAAAUAUACCAUCGGCAAUUAUGGAGUUGACGACCAUGGUGUGCAUAUGUACUAUGGUGGGCCGGGUAAUUUUGUCUAA
Molecule: ribosomal RNA, 1149 nt
Filed under: Triticum aestivum (bread wheat)
Lineage: Eukaryota; Viridiplantae; Streptophyta; Magnoliopsida; Poales; Poaceae
Description: partial small subunit ribosomal RNA
Source: RNAcentral